Molecule: long non-coding RNA, 880 nt
Organism: Gallus gallus (chicken)
Lineage: Eukaryota; Metazoa; Chordata; Aves; Galliformes; Phasianidae
Exons: 2
Source: RefSeq, a predicted model, not a curated record
GACUCGGCGGGUGCGCCGCCUGCGGAGGGACUGCCCAGCUGGGUCCCGUCAGGCGGCCGCGCGUGCGGGGGCCGUUGGGAAACGCCGGCUGAGCGGAGGAGCGGCGACGCGCGGCUGCGGGCAGCGCUUCCGCCUGAGGGGGUUGGCGCCCAACAGCCGGCGGGGAUCGAGCGAACGCCGGGCGCCGCUCCGCUUGUGCCGUGCUGUGCUGUGCUGCUGACGUUGUUUCUAACGAAGGAAGAAGCUGCUCUUUACCUCCCAUGCAGCACUACCGCCUUUCCGUUGUUGUUUUUCUUUUUUCUUUCUUUCCCUGACGUUGUAGGGACAGACGUGCCCGAACUAGCAAGGGCGUAUUUCAGGUGGGAGCGUUUCUGGCUUGCUUUCGUUUCCUGCAGUGAACUGUUGUGCCUUUCGCACCGGCUGUCUUUGCGGUGGCUGUGUAGGUGAAAACAAACGAGCACCGCAGUCAGCCUGCACGCAGCCCAUGAAGCAGGCGCCCUGUGGAAACGCCUUCUGUAUAGCCAUUACUCCUGCCUGAGUGUUUCACACCUACCUGGUUCUCGAGAAGUCAGCUGCACAUUGACAUCAACCUCCCUUUGUGGCUCCAGCGACAUAGCAACCAUAAUCUGCAGUGCCAGGAGACUAUGUCUCAGGAGCACAGAGGACUACAUACCUCGGAGGAAUUGUGCCAACUUCUUCCACUGCCAAGCUCAUGGGCACUGAGCUUAAAACGUCUGUGGAACAGAGAUCUUAUGAUAAACACAAGCUUGACGCACCUGUCUGUGUCAUACUAGCAAAAGGCAUAGAAUCAAACCAAGACAAAAAGUAUAUCAAGAAUACAAAUGAACUGCAUACAUAGCUAAAAAUGAAAGAUAUGCUA